CGGUGCAAUCAUACUAGCACUAAUGCACCGGAUCCCAUCGAAAUUCCGGAGUUAAGCGUGUUUGGGCGAGAGUAGUACUAGGAUGGGUGACCUCCUAGGAAGUCCUCGUAUUGCACCCC
RNAcentral lists this ribosomal RNA (119 nucleotides) under Beta vulgaris subsp. vulgaris (sugar beet). The record is from RNAcentral. Lineage: Eukaryota; Viridiplantae; Streptophyta; Magnoliopsida; Caryophyllales; Amaranthaceae.